GAUAAACGCUGGCGGCGUGCCUAAUACAUGCAAGUCGAGCGAACGGACGAGAAGCUUGCUUCUCUGAUGUUAGCGGCGGACGGGUGAGUAACACGUGGAUAACCUACCUAUAAGACUGGGAUAACUUCGGGAAACCGGAGCUAAUACCGGAUAAUAUUUUGAACCGCAUGGUUCAAAAGUGAAAGACGGUCUUGCUGUCACUUAUAGAUGGAUCCGCGCUGCAUUAGCUAGUUGGUAAGGUAACGGCUUACCAAGGCAACGAUGCAUAGCCGACCUGAGAGGGUGAUCGGCCACACUGGAACUGAGACACGGUCCAGACUCCUACGGGAGGCAGCAGUAGGGAAUCUUCCGCAAUGGGCGAAAGCCUGACGGAGCAACGCCGCGUGAGUGAUGAAGGUCUUCGGAUCGUAAAACUCUGUUAUUAGGGAAGAACAUAUGUGUAAGUAACUGUGCACAUCUUGACGGUACCUAAUCAGAAAGCCACGGCUAACUACGUGCCAGCAGCCGCGGUAAUACGUAGGUGGCAAGCGUUAUCCGGAAUUAUUGGGCGUAAAGCGCGCGUAGGCGGUUUUUUAAGUCUGAUGUGAAAGCCCACGGCUCAACCGUGGAGGGUCAUUGGAAACUGGAAAACUUGAGUGCAGAAGAGGAAAGUGGAAUUCCAUGUGUAGCGGUGAAAUGCGCAGAGAUAUGGAGGAACACCAGUGGCAAAGGCGACUUUCUGGUCUGUAACUGACGCUGAUGUGCGAAAGCGUGGGGAUCAAACAGGAUUAGAUACCCUGGUAGUCCACGCCGUAAACGAUGAGUGCUAAGUGUUAGGGGGUUUCCGCCCCUUAGUGCUGCAGCUAACGCAUUAAGCACUCCGCCUGGGGAGUACGACCGCAAGGUUGAAACUCAAAGGAAUUGACGGGGACCCGCACAAGCGGUGGAGCAUGUGGUUUAAUUCGAAGCAACGCGAAGAACCUUACCAAAUCUUGACAUCCUUUGACAACUCUAGAGAUAGAGCCUUCCCCUUCGGGGGACAAAGUGACAGGUGGUGCAUGGUUGUCGUCAGCUCGUGUCGUGAGAUGUUGGGUUAAGUCCCGCAACGAGCGCAACCCUUAAGCUUAGUUGCCAUCAUUAAGUUGGGCACUCUAAGUUGACUGCCGGUGACAAACCGGAGGAAGGUGGGGAUGACGUCAAAUCAUCAUGCCCCUUAUGAUUUGGGCUACACACGUGCUACAAUGGACAAUACAAAGGGCAGCGAAACCGCGAGGUCAAGCAAAUCCCAUAAAGUUGUUCUCAGUUCGGAUUGUAGUCUGCAACUCGACUACAUGAAGCUGGAAUCGCUAGUAAUCGUAGAUCAGCAUGCUACGGUGAAUACGUUCCCGGGUCU
RNAcentral lists this ribosomal RNA (1372 nucleotides) under uncultured bacterium. RNAcentral describes it as "bacterial SSU rRNA". It matches the Rfam family "Bacterial small subunit ribosomal RNA", at positions 28 to 1381 of the family's 1533-position model. The record is from RNAcentral.